GGGGGUAUAGCUCAGUGGUAGAGCGCAUGCUUAGCAUGCAUGAGGUCCUGGGUUCGAUCCCCAGUACCUCCA
Molecule: transfer RNA, 72 nt
Organism: Camelus ferus (Wild Bactrian camel)
Lineage: Eukaryota; Metazoa; Chordata; Mammalia; Artiodactyla; Camelidae
Rfam family: tRNA
About the family: Transfer RNA (tRNA) molecules are approximately 80 nucleotides in length. Their secondary structure includes four short double-helical elements and three loops (D, anti-codon, and T loops).
Source: Rfam